AGCCGCCUGCCCACGCGGCCCCCGGCGCCGGGCAGCCGAGCCGGGGCGGUCCCGGCAGCGCUCCUUACCGAGGCCCGCGAGAGACGGGAACCGAGAAGCCGAGGCCGAGCGGCGGCGAAGCCCGAAACUGACACGGCGGCCAUCUUGGUGCCCGUUGGCGUGGGGAGCCGUGUGCCGUGCCCGUACCACUCACAUGCAUGUGCUCGAAAACUGCUCUCUCCUUAGGCGGCUUUGUGAGUAGGCUCCACAGAGCUGGCUCUUUGUCACUGGAAUCAGAGGGGACCCACUGGGGAGCAUCCACCCUAGGCUAAUACAGGCAGCAGCAUGGCUCUGCCCUGCACGUGUACGACGUUGGACCUAGUGUCUGUCAAAAGUUGACAGAAAAGAGCAAAGAGCAAAUUCUAAUUUUACAAAAUUAUGGCAUUCUCUCACUUUGUUAUUUAUACUAUGUGGUUAUGUGCUGCGCGCAGUUCCCUAACCUUCUUUUAAAACAGCUGUGUAUGCACAAUGUCAGGUACACAUUUUUCAGUGUUAGCUUAAAGGACAACUGCUGGGUAAAGAUUCAUGCAAGCUUCCCUUUUCAGAAACGAAAAAAUCUUAAGAAACGUCAUGAAGACAGUUGAUAAAGCAACAAAGUGGUGUUUUCUGAAUGGCUUUGUUCAAUGUCUUGUGGUGAGAAAUUUCUCUUUUGAGCAAGAGGAAAUCUUUUGAUGUUUUAACAAAAUAGGUUUUUCAGUAUGAACAUGAAUUGCUUGUUACUUGAACUGUUUGGGAAGCCAAUGGAGUUUGAGGUGCUCUUGUACGAGGUAUUGUACAAACAGUUCUGUUCCUCUCAUGCAAACUGUGGAGGUCUGCCCUUCCCAGAGUUGGAUUCGCCAUACAAAUUAAUCUCUUCUCCCACCUCUUCCUGAGUGGAAGGGUGGAAAUUCAGGUACUUCAAUGCCUUAAAUUCCAAGGCUGUGGUUUUAAAUUCUGAAAAGCUAAUAAAUAUAUAAAUGUAAUUUCCAGAGAAUAAUGUGAGUAAGCAUAACAAUACUUACGCAUUGCUGAAACGACUCAGUACAUAACAGUGAAACCCAGUUGUGUUCCUAGAAAGCAGAGUGUCAGUCUGCAGUCUAUUUUGUUUCAAAAUUUGCAGUAGAUUAUUAUUGUCAGCCUUACAAAAUUAAUUGUUGUUGUUUGGUAUUUCAGAGAUGAAAACUAGCCUUUUUUCUUCUACUCUCUUUUUAUUUUCACAUCACAAGCUAACAGUUAAAUCAUCAGAAUUCUACAUACAGCAACCAACAGAUAGUAAGGGAUUGCUUUUUUGUGAAGACAGUGUACAGUUUGGCAACAGCAUUUUGUUGCGAAUCUCUUUUUUUGCUCUUUUCCUCUGGGGGUUCAUGCACUUUCACAAGAGACUAAUGCCUUUACUGAACUAUUUUCAGGCUGCCACUAAAUUAACCAGCAACAUGACAGUAUGUUCGGGCUAUACCUUCUGCUAUGUUCUCUUAGAUUCCAGUUUAUAUAAGCUCCUGAGCCACUUGUGGAGAAAAGCAUUACUAAUGUUCAGAAGAAAAUGGGAUUCUUCUGCUAACAGUUUGGAAGCAGACAGGCCGCAUUUCUGCAGCCGUAAACAGUGGUGGAACUCUUAAUUGUUCUCUGCAGGUGCCAACAAGAUAUGGGAAAAUUCUUGGAGAAGUUUAAAUUUCAAGUUAGCAUCCCAGCUACACAGCAACUCUUCAAAGGCCAUACUACUCAAGGGAUUUUGACAAGAUAUCUCUUGUGAUUAGUUUUUCAUAAGUCUAUAGGAUUAUAAACAAAUGUAUUCCCCUUCAUCCUUCCGCAACCUUUACCUUUGGUGUGCAGAAAUAAUUAAUUACCCUAUGGUUUCUUUUGCAUUGGCACUGACAUUCUUGAUGACUAAAAAAAACAAGGUUGCCAUAGGAAAUAUAAAGAAGUAACAACAUCGUGAACUAGGUAAAAUAUUAACUAUUUUGAUGAGGAGUGCAAGCAAUUUAUGCUUUCGCAUACGCUUAACUAUGUGCUGCUGUUUUCUGUCUAUGAUGCCUAUAUGACUUCUGUUAAUACAGACUCCAAAAGCCUCUGAGACAGUGAUGAUGUUUAAAACCAUACAUAUUUAUUUUAAAUUUAUAACAGAAUGCUGUAAUUAAAUGAACAAUUUAUACCA
Cygnus atratus (black swan) is the source of this 2170-nucleotide long non-coding RNA. RefSeq lists it as uncharacterized. The record is from RefSeq and is a predicted model, not a curated record. The transcript has 3 exons. Lineage: Eukaryota; Metazoa; Chordata; Aves; Anseriformes; Anatidae.